Molecule: unclassified non-coding RNA, 120 nt
Filed under: Saccharolobus solfataricus
Lineage: Archaea; Thermoproteati; Thermoproteota; Thermoprotei; Sulfolobales; Sulfolobaceae
Source: RNAcentral
CUUCUCCCGAAAGGUCUCCACACUCCUCUUCCCAGGAGGUAAGUCCAGUAGGAAGGAGUCCACUAGCCACGCCAUGAAGUCCACGAGAUGCGCGCUCGCAGGGAGGUAACUGGGUAGGCA